AAAUGCGCUACGGGGAACGAUAAAAACAGCGCGGGGGUAGCGUUGCUGGCACGCGUUCAGCGUGUCGGCAGCGGUUGUCUGCAUGCACGACGGGGCCAACCACCACAACAAACCAACAUGCAGGCACAUACGCCUAUUCAAUCGACGUUCCGCCGUCCGGCCGGGGGAAGCAGAGGUCAAUGCGGGCGGCGGCGGACGCAUUUUUUAC
RNAcentral lists this non-coding RNA (208 nucleotides) under Burkholderia oklahomensis C6786. Its description in RNAcentral is "Burkholderia sRNA 1". It matches the Rfam family "Burkholderia sRNA 1". From Rfam's summary of the family: Trans-encoded, exhibits differential expression profiles dependent on growth phase and cell stimuli, such as antbiotics and serum. Lineage: Bacteria; Pseudomonadati; Pseudomonadota; Betaproteobacteria; Burkholderiales; Burkholderiaceae. The record is from Rfam by way of RNAcentral.